AGAGUUUGAUCCUGGCUCAGGAUUAACGCUAGCGGCAGGCCUAAUACAUGCAAGUCGAACGGCAGCACGGGUAGCAAUACCUGGUGGCGAGUGGCGCACGGGUGCGUAACACGUAUGCAAUCUACCUUUAACUGGGGAAUAACCCCUCGAAAGAGGGGCUAAUACCGCAUAAUACUUUGAUGGGACAUCCCAAUGAAGUCAAACCUACGGGGGUUAAAGAUGAGCAUGCGUCCGAUUAGCUAGUUGGCGGGGUAACGGCCCACCAAGGCGACGAUCGGUAGGGGAUCUGAGAGGAUGAUCCCCCACACUGGUACUGAGACACGGACCAGACUCCUACGGGAGGCAGCAGUAAGGAAUAUUGGACAAUGGGCGCAAGCCUGAUCCAGCCAUGCCGCGUGCAGGAUGAAAGUGCUAUGCACUGUAAACUGCUUUUGUUUGGGAAAAAACCCCUGGUUUCUACCAGGGCUGAUUGUACCAAAAGAAUAAGGGACGGCUAACUUCGUGCCAGCAGCCGCGGUAAUACGAAGAUCCCAAGCGUUAUCCGGAUUUAUUGGGUUUAAAGGGUGCGUAGGCGGACUAUUAAGUCAGUGGUGAAAGCCCCAAGCUUAACUUGGGAACUGCCAUUGAUACUGAUGGUCUUGAGUACAUUUGAGGUGGGCGGAAUGUGUCAUGUAGCGGUGAAAUGCUUAGAUAUGACACAGAACACCGAUUGCGAAGGCAGCUCACUAAACUGUAACUGACGCUGAGGCACGAAAGCGUGGGGAGCAAACAGGAUUAGAUACCCUAGUAGUCC
RNAcentral lists this ribosomal RNA (793 nucleotides) under uncultured bacterium. RNAcentral describes it as "bacterial SSU rRNA". It matches the Rfam family "Bacterial small subunit ribosomal RNA", at positions 8 to 796 of the family's 1533-position model. The record is from RNAcentral.